UAUCAUGGCUCAGGAUGAACGCUAGCUACAGGCUUAACACAUGCAAGUCGAGGGGCAGCAUGGUCUUAGCUUGCUAAGGCCGAUGGCGACCGGCGCACGGGUGAGUAACGCGUAUCCAACCUGCCUUACACUCUUGGACAGCCUUCUGAAAGGGAGAUUAAUACAAGAUGUUAUCAUGAGUAAGCAUUUUCGCAUGAUUAAAGGUUUACCGGUGUAAGAUGGGGAUGCGUUCCAUUAG
This 238-nucleotide ribosomal RNA is filed under the name uncultured bacterium. Its description in RNAcentral is "partial 16S ribosomal RNA". It matches the Rfam family "Bacterial small subunit ribosomal RNA", at positions 15 to 244 of the family's 1533-position model. The record is from RNAcentral.